This 74-nucleotide transfer RNA is filed under the name Galerina marginata CBS 339.88. RNAcentral describes it as "tRNA-Thr (AGT) (tRNA-Thr-AGT-1-1, tRNA-Thr-AGT-1-2)". The record is from RNAcentral. Lineage: Eukaryota; Fungi; Basidiomycota; Agaricomycetes; Agaricales; Galerinaceae.
UCCUUCUUAGCUCAGUUGGAUAGAGCGCGUCACUAGUAAUGACGAGGUCAGUCGUUCAAAUCGGCUAGAAGGAA